UACGUAGGGUGCAAGCGUUGUCCGGAAUUAUUGGGCGUAAAGAGCUCGUAGGCGGUUUGUCGCGUCUGCUGUGAAAACCCGAGGCUCAACCUCGGGCCUGCAGUGGGUACGGGCAGACUAGAGUGCGGUAGGGGAGAUUGGAAUUCCUGGUGUAGCGGUGGAAUGCGCAGAUAGUCAGGGGGAACACCGAUGGCGAAGGCAGAUCUCUGGGCCGUAACUGACGCUGAGGAGCGAAAGCAUGGGGAGCGAACAGG
Molecule: ribosomal RNA, 254 nt
Filed under: uncultured bacterium
Lineage: Bacteria
Description: partial 16S ribosomal RNA
Rfam family: Bacterial small subunit ribosomal RNA
Source: RNAcentral